AAUAAAGUGCCUGAAUAAAGGAUUAUUCUGAUAGAAUAAAUUAUAUAAACUAAACAUUUAUCUUUAUUA
This 69-nucleotide transfer RNA is filed under the name Stenopsyche tienmushanensis. Its description in RNAcentral is "tRNA-Ile". Lineage: Eukaryota; Metazoa; Arthropoda; Insecta; Trichoptera; Stenopsychidae. The record is from RNAcentral.